This 497-nucleotide ribosomal RNA is filed under the name uncultured bacterium. RNAcentral's name for it is "partial 16S ribosomal RNA". It matches the Rfam family "Bacterial small subunit ribosomal RNA", at positions 28 to 507 of the family's 1533-position model. The record is from RNAcentral.
GAUGAACGCUGGCGGCGUGCCUAAUACAUGCAAGUCGAGCGAACGGACGAGAAGCUUGCUUUUCUGAUGUUAGCGGCGGACGGGUGAGUAACACGUGGAUAACCUACCUAUAAGACUGGGAUAACUUCGGGAAACCGGAGCUAAUACCGGAUAAUAUUUUGAACCGCAUGGUUCAAAAGUGAAAGACGGUCUUGCUGUCACUUAUAGAUGGAUCCGCGCUGCAUUAGCUGGUUGGUAAGGUAACGGCUUACCAAGGCAACGAUGCAUAGCCGACCUGAGAGGGUGAUCGGCCACAUGGGAGCUGAGACGCGGUCCAGACUCCUACGGGAGGCAGCAGUAGGGAAUCUUCCGCAAUGGGCGAAAGCCUGACGGAGCAACGCCGCGUGAGUGAUGAAGGUCUUCGGAUCGUAAAACUCGGUUAUGAGGGAAGAACAUAUGUGUAAGUAACUGCGCACAUCUUGACGGUACCUAAUCAGAAAGCCACGGCUAACUACGUG